AGUGUCGAGAGACCCGUUCUGGGAGUGUGGAUGGUAGUAGGGACUCCCGAGUGAGCUGUUUGCAGUUCCUUCCACAAGCCUCCAGUUUGCAUUAGUUUGCAUACGUGAGUGAAAGUUUAAAGUUUAGUAAUUUAAACAGCCGCGCGCUGUCCCUUUUCCGAAGAGCUUCCGUGGAUAUAUGUGCAUUCGCACAUAUAUUACGUGCAUUCUAUAUCGUGCCAUACUACCGGCUAUGCGCACCACAACCAUGGCCACGUACAGGUUGCCGGCUCCCGUGUCUGGGAAUAUUCAACGGAUGCAAUUUUUCAACGGUCCAGGAAAUUGAACGGAAAAUUUUGAUGGAGUUUCGAAUAACGACAGUCGCAGAGUUUCUCGGCAAAUCCUCGAUACGCUCAAGUAUUUUUAUAAAUGCUGUUAAAACUAAAAUAGACUAUAAUAGGAAUUGAUUGAAGUUAAUAAAUAAAAGUUGUACGAACACAUAUAGCAGGAGCGUUCGUCCGAUUAAAUGUUUAAGAAUGUUGAAACGACGAAUAAUAACGAACAAUUAAAUUUAACGAGCUACUGACUAAUAAUUAAUUACUAAAACGUAACAGCGCGAUUAUGUUACGUACAAAUGUGUUACAGACGCGAUAUUCAUUAUACACGUGUUGUUUAUACAGUAUGAUAGAUAUGAAGAUUCAUUUUGCUUAGUCCCUUCAAUUCACGUUCACGUGGCAAAUAAUUAUUGCCUAACUUAUCAGUUAGUAUGCUUUUCAUUAAAACGCGUGAGAUAUUUUGCGGAUAUAUUUGAACGAACUGAAAUAAUUUUUCAGGUUGAAUAUUUUACGCAGCAUGCCAAACCGACAAAUGUCUUGAUCGUUUGUAUCAUGUAUUGAUUUUGUAUUUUUACUAUAUCGUCGAGGGUGUAUUAACCUUCUUGGAGAUCAAUGUUUUUGAUUUUGAAAUAUAUCUUCCUGUUCCAAGUAAUUAGUCCUAGAUAUUCUGAUAUAAUGAUCUAUUGUCUUAGAACAGGAAAAUUUAACCAAACAUAUAAUUGUAGCUGUAAAUUUUACAAUUUUACAAUAAGGAAUUUACGCGUUCAAUGAGAAAACGAAAUAACCGUAUAAAAGAAUAAAAACUAGUUUCC
This 1126-nucleotide unclassified non-coding RNA is filed under the name Bombus terrestris (buff-tailed bumblebee). RNAcentral describes it as "misc RNA ENSBTSG00005022282.1". The record is from RNAcentral. Lineage: Eukaryota; Metazoa; Arthropoda; Insecta; Hymenoptera; Apidae.